Hypomesus transpacificus is the source of this 2546-nucleotide long non-coding RNA. RefSeq lists it as uncharacterized. The record is from RefSeq and is a predicted model, not a curated record. NCBI's taxonomy places the organism in Eukaryota, Metazoa, Chordata, Actinopteri, Osmeriformes, Osmeridae. The transcript is spliced from 2 exons.
AAUUCCUUCCACAGAUUGAGUGAUGUUAUGUAAAACACAGAUAUCUCUGCCUAUAGCAAAAACAUUAUCGCCUGUGGAAACUUUCACUGUCCAUUCUUUAGUAUGUAGCUCUCUGUACUGUGCUUCAGCUUGAAGGCCAUCAGGAACAGGUCCAACAUAAUGUUGCCUUCUUAGACCCUCACGACAACCAAUGCUGCAGAUCUUUUGAACCUCUGAUAACCUUCGUACUACCUGAGCAAGAGGAAAUUCAGGCUUUCUAACACACCUCUUCAGUUUAUGAAGGUAAUUUUCAAAUGGAAAAGCAGAGAUAGUGUCCAAACAACCAUGCACAUCUGCAUCUGCAGACAGGUGGACCAAGGAAUGGACAUUAUACACUAAGGCAUCUCUGCCGUACAGCUCCCCAAAAUGACUAACAAAUGUGGAGAGCAGUGUGUUUGCAUAUGUACUAUACAUAUGGACUAGCUGUGGACUGACAAGGAUGGAAAUACCUGUAGAUAACAACAUAAAGUUGUUAUAUAAAUUACUGUCUAAAUAUGGUUCCAGAACAACAGGGCCUGUAUACAAGAGAAAUUGUCUGAACUCUGUAACUUUCCAACGAUCUAAUUCUCGAAGGGAUCGGGGUUUCCUUGCAAACUCUACUGGUAUAUACCUACGCAUCUGAGUUAGACUUUCUGAAAUCCUGUCAACAAGACUAGAGGACAAACGAAACAUCAGAGGGCCCCUCAGCCAAAUGUUUAGCAAUCGUCGCAUUACACCUAAACAUGCAAGGUGCAUGUAAUCAAGGGGAAACCGAGUUACCAUACCAACAUCUAAAUUAGAAAAUCCAUGAGGUCCUUCAUGGUGAUGAUCCUCAUCAGCUCUCUCUGAAAAUGAUGAGUCAGUCCGUAACAUGUAAUUAUUUAAAGGGUAAGUCAUUCGUCUGUUAAUGUAAACACCUGGCUGGGAACAUUUAUCACAUCCGUGAUAUCCAUUGUGAGCCUUUGUGUUUUUUACAAAUGCCCUAGCAGGUGUAUCACACACAACAGAAACCAGUUCAAGGAACACUUUUUUCCCACUGAAAUCAAAACCUCUCUGUAGCUGUUGUAACUCACAUGUGAAGUCUCGCAAAAAUUCUUCAGCUGGAUAAGGUUUUUUACUGCCACAAAAAAUGCCUAUGACAACAGGUUCCUUCAUUGGAACACUUAACAGAAGUCCUAAAAUAGGCCAAAACUGAAUAUUUGUGCUUUUAAACAGUGGUAACCCAUCAAUAUUAAUCUGCAGCUUGAAUUUAAAGCCAUCAGCAACAUUGCGUAUAUGUUGAGAUAAGGUGUUACGAAGCGCUGCCAAGAUACCUGUAUAAUGAUACAACCCACCACAUUUUUCUUGUAUUUUGUAAUUAAUUUCUGUUUUGAGGACAGUCCUAGCAUCUUUUGGCAGUUCUGGGUGGUACACCCUCAACAGGGUAAGGAGGGCUGUGAGCGCGACCAAAGAAAUACUGAACUGUACAGCCCAAUUGGCUAAGCUGUCCAAAAGGCUCACAUGCUCUUCAUCAGUGUCAUCAUCAGACUCUGAAACCAUUUCUUCUCCCCCCCAUUCUAUGUCUGUGUGAUGGUCAUCUGAAUUGUCAUCCUCCACUUGAGGAGUAACGCUAGAGUCACAAUCAUGGUUGCCAUCGCUGUCAUUGGUGUUGUCACAUGGGUCUGCCCUGUUUUCUACCGCCUGUUCUGUUAAAUGAGAGUCGUCUGCAAUGUCAUGGAGUCGUUUUUCUAAUGCAAAGCGUGCCCUCUGCCUGACUCCGGAGUCUGUUAAUGGAGGUUGCCUCCUUUUCAUCUUCUCUCUAAAAUAGAUUCUGACAGAAAUACAUGUUUUAGGGUCCAUCUGGGGUUUAACCCCAGCCCUCUACUGAUCUUUAUUUAUUUAUUUUCCACUGUAUAUGUGUGUGUAUCAGACAUUUAUCUGAAUAACAACAAAGUUAAUACAAAAACAACUAAACAAGUUAACUUUUUACUCCUUAUACCCAUAAAUAUUGUAACACAUUGUAUGUUUGUGUGUUUGACUCACCUUCCUGUUGUGCUGAAGACGUGAUGUGUGACUCCUUUCUGUUACAGUAUUCCAGAUAAACCUCAAACUGAAAGAACAUUUUUUACAUGAUUAAGAUUAUUAUUGUUUUAACAAAUGAAUACGAUCAGAUAUUAUUUCUCAGAUCAGAAUCAACUAAUUAAAUGCCGUUUCAAAUUAUAUGGUGAAAUAAUAAAAUACAAUGGAAAGUGCAUGAUUUUUGAUUGGCCGAUUGACUCUGAAAACUAGCUAUUCACAAGCGACAACUUGCUUCUGAAUGGUCAUUUCAAGUAAUUGACAGUUGCCGUUGCCAAUGCUCAUCCAUAUCCUGUCUGGCUAAAGAUCCUACUGUACUGUAGGACUGUAGAGCUACAAAUGAGCAACGGACAGCGACGUUGAAGAGAACUGUUCAACAUCGAGUGAGCAGAGCGUUGAAGAUUCUUCCUGGUGAUCUGCUGCCCAUCAUCAACAGUGUUGGGGACUUCUGUGUGCUUCUUCUCACUUCCUGC